AUUGAACGCUGGCGGCAGGCCUAACACAUGCAAGUCGAACGAGUAGAGGACGGGUGAGUAAGGUCUGGGAAACUGCCCGAUGGAGGGGGAUAACUACGGGAAACGGUAGCUAAUACCGCAUACCAUCGUAUGUGCCCAGAUGGGAUUAGCUAGUAGGUGGGGUAACGGCUCACCUAGGCGACGAUCCCUAGCUGGUCUGAGAGGAUGACCAGCCACACUGGAACUGAGACACGGUCCAGACUCCUACGGGAGGCAGCAGUGGGGAAUCUUCGGCAAUGGACGAAAGUCUGAUCGAGCCACGCCGCGUGUGUGAAGAAGGUUUUCGGGUUGUAAAAUACUGUCGGUAGGGAGGCGUUAUCUACCGAGGAAGCCACGGCUAACUCCGUGCCAGCAGCCGCGGUAAUAC
RNAcentral lists this ribosomal RNA (406 nucleotides) under uncultured bacterium. RNAcentral describes it as "partial 16S ribosomal RNA". It matches the Rfam family "Bacterial small subunit ribosomal RNA", at positions 30 to 526 of the family's 1533-position model. The record is from RNAcentral.